Molecule: ribosomal RNA, 497 nt
Filed under: uncultured bacterium
Lineage: Bacteria
Description: partial 16S ribosomal RNA
Rfam family: Bacterial small subunit ribosomal RNA
Source: RNAcentral
GAUGAACGCUGGCGGCGUGCCUAAUACAUGCAAGUCGAGCGAACAGACGAGGAUCUUGCUCCUCUGACGUUAGCGGCGCACGGGUGAGUAACACGUGGAUAACCUACCUAUCAGACUGGGAUAACUUCGGGACACCGGAGCUAAUACCGGAUAAUAUAUUGAACCGCAGGGUUCAAUAGUGAAAGACGGUUUUGCUGUCACUUCUAGAUGGAUCCGCGCCGCAUUAGCUAGUUGGUACGGUAACGGCUUACCAAGGCAACGAUGCGUAGCCGACCUGAGAGGGUGAUAGGCCACACUGGAAGUGGGACACGGUCCAGACUCCUACGGGAGGCAGCCGUAGGGAAUCUUCCGCAAUGGGCGAAAGCCUGACGGAGCAACGCCGCGUGAGUGAUGAAGGUCUUCCGAUCGUAAAGCUGUGUUAUUAGGGAAGAACAAAUUUGUAAGUAACUAUGCACGUCUUGACGGUACCUAAUCAGAAAGCCACGGCUAACUACGUG